GGAUGCAAGGGUGCUCUGGCUGGGACAACAGUCACCCCGUUGAUUGCCAGGGUGGAUGAGGCUGAUCUGGCGACGUCCCCUUCCUCCCUCCACUGUACCAUGAGCGUCUCUCCUGAACCUGCAUGGACAGUCGAAGAGGAUGACCUUCCCUGAUAGAGGAGGACCAUUCUUCUUCAGUCAAGGGUAUCCAAGAAGCUGCGUGCCCCUUGGGCUAGAACCUGCAAACAAGCUCUCAAGACCCAUCUGUAGGAGAAUGUAGGGUGGUUACACUUCCAGGACUCCAGGCACAUCCAUAGUAUGGCAGUCUGCCUUUCUAG
RNAcentral lists this small nuclear RNA (317 nucleotides) under Mustela putorius furo (domestic ferret). RNAcentral describes it as "7SK RNA (ENSMPUG00000021894.1)". It matches the Rfam family "7SK RNA". Rfam says of the family: 7SK was discovered as an abundant small nuclear RNA in the mid-70s but a possible function has only recently been suggested. Lineage: Eukaryota; Metazoa; Chordata; Mammalia; Carnivora; Mustelidae. The record is from Rfam by way of RNAcentral.